AGCGUACGCUGGCGGCAGGCCUAACACAUGCAAGUCGAACGAACUCUUCGGAGUUAGUGGCGGACGGGUGAGUAACACGUGGGAACGUGCCUUUAGGUUCGGAAUAACUCAGGGAAACUUGUGCUAAUACCGAAUGUGCCCUUCGGGGGAAAGAUUUAUCGCCUUUAGAGCGGCCCGCGUCUGAUUAGCUAGUUGGUGAGGUAAAGGCUCACCAAGGCGACGAUCAGUAGCUGGUCUGAGAGGAUGAUCAGCCACAUUGGGACUGAGACACGGCCCAAACUCCUACGGGAGGCAGCAGUGGGGAAUCUUGCGCAAUGGGCGAAAGCCUGACGCAGCCAUGCCGCGUGAAUGAUGAAGGUCUUAGGAUUGUAAAAUUCUUUCACCGGGGACGAUAAUGACGGUACCCGGAGAAGAAGCCCCGGCUAACUUCGUG
This 433-nucleotide ribosomal RNA is filed under the name uncultured bacterium. RNAcentral describes it as "partial 16S ribosomal RNA". It matches the Rfam family "Bacterial small subunit ribosomal RNA", at positions 29 to 507 of the family's 1533-position model. The record is from RNAcentral.